UUAGUUCACCGUCGGCGGCCUUUUAGCCUCUAUGCCAUUCGAUUCGAUGUAAAGUUGGGCUGCGGUGCAGUAAUAGAUGGUCGAGUUGAUGGCAUCUUGGUUAGAUCGACGCGUUGACGCGUGAGUGGCUAAUCUAACGUUUGUGUUGACUGGCUCUCUGCUUGUGCAGCGAACGGUCGGUGCUUGCGUAUUUCAGUCGUGUCAGAGUUGGUGUGAGUCAGAUUUUUUGUGUUGGCAACCCGAUUGAAGGAAUUCUUAUGUCCCGUAUGCAUGACUCUGCCGAGUUCCUCUUUGAGGUACUCGGCGGACGGUGAAGCUGCCCCUUUUUCGACUUGCGCUCCCUUUUCGGGAACCAUGUAAAACGGUUGUGGUGAUGCCUUUUGCCUCGGAUGCAGAGCAUGAAGCGAGCCGGGUGAUGCUUGUCGUCAUCCGUCCGUUCAGAGCUCUCGGUUGCUUGGAAAGAGAGACCGCCGCGCUUGGUUUUGGCUGUCGACUCGUCGAUUCAGCCCGAAACCUUGCCCGACGUCUUCAAUGAAUGCUACCUGGUUGAUCCUGCCAGUAGUCAUAUGCUUGUCUCAAAGAUUAAGCCAUGCAGGGUGGUAAAGUAA
RNAcentral lists this unclassified non-coding RNA (608 nucleotides) under Sedum batesii. RNAcentral's name for it is "partial contains external transcribed spacer and 18S ribosomal RNA". The stretch from base 540 to 608 matches the Rfam family "Eukaryotic small subunit ribosomal RNA", at positions 1 to 71 of the family's 1831-position model. The record is from RNAcentral. Lineage: Eukaryota; Viridiplantae; Streptophyta; Magnoliopsida; Saxifragales; Crassulaceae.